Molecule: long non-coding RNA, 493 nt
Filed under: Vulpes vulpes (red fox)
Lineage: Eukaryota; Metazoa; Chordata; Mammalia; Carnivora; Canidae
Description: lncRNA (ENSVVUG00000013378.1)
Source: RNAcentral
GCCAUAUACACCCACAAACAUCCCAUUUACUGGGAUUUUCUUUCUUCCAAUAAGGCAUGCUUAAAACAGUUACAGGGGAAAAAAUGGACCCAUACAACUAGGCCUGGGAGCCAGCUACACAGACAUCCUCUCAAGAAGCAUCCUAGGCCCAGACAACAGCAGGUUUGCAAAACUCAGAAGACAAAAUAAAUAGAAACUUAAAAUAAGGUGCAGAAACCUAUGGCCCUAGGAAUUGUGAAGAAUGGAGUCGGUCUGGUGUGGAGAGCUCACAGGAUGGCAGACCUGAGAGUCCUGUCUUGAGUUGACCACUACCAGCUGGGUAACCUUCGGUAAGUCAUCCCCUCGUCCCCUUGAGAGUUUGCUCAUCUGUUAAAUGAGCUAAUUAGCUAAGACAAUCCCAACAGAUCCUGUCAGAUUCGGUAUUUUUUAUACUUCUAUGGCCCUAAGGUCACAAGACUGAGAGAGUAGCGUUGAGUGUCCUAUGAGUCACAUU